This 589-nucleotide ribosomal RNA is filed under the name uncultured bacterium. RNAcentral's name for it is "bacterial SSU rRNA". It matches the Rfam family "Bacterial small subunit ribosomal RNA", at positions 337 to 917 of the family's 1533-position model. The record is from RNAcentral.
UCCUACGGGAGGCAGCAGUAGGGAAUCUUCCGCAAUGGACGAAAGUCUGACGGAGCAACGCCGCGUGAGUGAUGAAGGCUUUCGGGUCGUAAAGCUCUGUUGUUAGGGAAGAACAAGUGCGAGAGUAACUGCUCGCACCUUGACGGUACCUAACCAGAAAGCCACGGCUAACUACGUGCCAGCAGCCGCGGUAAUACGUAGGUGGCAAGCGUUAUCCGGAAUUAUUGGGCGUAAAGCGCGCGCAGGUGGUUUCUUAAGUCUGAUGUGAAAGCCCACGGCUCAACCGUGGAGGGUCAUUGGAAACUGGGAGACUUGAGUGCAGAAGAGGAAAGUGGAAUUCCAUGUGUAGCGGUGAAAUGCGUAGAGAUAUGGAGGAACACCAGUGGCGAAGGCGACUUUCUGGUCUGUAACUGACACUGAGGCGCGAAAGCGUGGGGAGCAAACAGGAUUAGAUACCCUGGUAGUCCACGCCGUAAACGAUGAGUGCUAAGUGUUAGAGGGUUUCCGCCCUUUAGUGCUGAAGUUAACGCAUUAAGCACUCCGCCUGGGGAGUACGGCCGCAAGGCUGAAACUCAAAGGAAUUGACGGA